This 274-nucleotide ribosomal RNA is filed under the name uncultured bacterium. Its description in RNAcentral is "partial 16S ribosomal RNA". It matches the Rfam family "Bacterial small subunit ribosomal RNA", at positions 523 to 796 of the family's 1533-position model. The record is from RNAcentral.
AUACGUACUGCGCAAACGUUAUUCGGAAUCACUGGGCUUACAGGGUGCGUAGGCGGUUCGCCAGGUCAGAUGUGAAAUCCCACAGCUCAACUGUGGAGCUGCAUUUGAAACCUGCGAACUUGAGUAGACUAGAGGUACACGGAACUUCAGGUGGAGCGGUGAAAUGUGUUGAGAUCUGAAGGAACACCAGAGGCGAAAGCGGUGUACUGGAGUCUGUCUGACGCUGAGGCACGAAAGCUAGGGGAGCGAACGGGAUUAGAAACCCUAGUAGUCC